AUCUGGAAAACGGGAAGGAAGAAAAGAAGCCCCCUGACUCCUCCCUGAGCCCCAGACAGCCCAUGAACUGCCUUCCUGGGAAUGGUAGGACAGGAUGGACUCUGGAUUGCUCCCUCUGGAUGUGUGGCUCUCCCCUGCAGGAACUCCAGGAACUCCUGGUGCCGCCUGGGCCGAUGGAUUGGACGCCCCAGCCCCUCCGUUCCUGCCCAGCCCCUGGGUCUGUGUCCAGUGGUGGCACUGCCAGCCCUGCAGUGGGAUGUAGCCUGGAAACUGCACAGAGCUGAGCCAAGGGAUUGAAAGGGACCAACCAAGGGAGGUGAAGAAAGAAUUAAAGUGAGGCAGCAGCCAAGCAGCAGCAAGUUGCUGUGUAAGCAGGCCAGGCCAAAGCCCUGAUCCAGCCCAGCUCUGCCAAGUGCCCUGGGCUGGGAGCAGCCAAAGGCAAGAGGCUGCAGCCCCGCCGGCCGGGCUGGGGGCUCCUGGUGCUGCCCGUGGGGUGGGGGAUGCCCAGGACGCUGCUAAUGCCCAGGGAUCUGCUCUGGGUCCAGGCUGUCCGUGCUGGAGGGCCCUGGUGGCUGCAGUCCCUGAGCCCGCAGAGACAGAGAGAGCCCCGGCCCGAGUGGCCUUUGGCCCCUUGUCCUGAAUUUGGGGUGAGCCUGGGAGCGUGUGGAAGGUGAGAAU
Molecule: long non-coding RNA, 678 nt
Organism: Pseudopipra pipra
Lineage: Eukaryota; Metazoa; Chordata; Aves; Passeriformes; Pipridae
Exons: 5
Source: RefSeq, a predicted model, not a curated record